Molecule: long non-coding RNA, 344 nt
Organism: Eurytemora carolleeae
Lineage: Eukaryota; Metazoa; Arthropoda; Copepoda; Calanoida; Temoridae
Exons: 3
Source: RefSeq, a predicted model, not a curated record
GAAUAAAGGACAACCAUUUCAUUACUGUGAGGAGAAGCUGGACUAUUCUUACAAGUGUAUUUUCUAGUGCAAAAGAAUUCAAUUUGGGCAGAACACAUAACUUAUCAUUUUUUGAUAAGUGAGCAGGUUAUCAAACCAUUUAUAGAAUUACUUUAGAAUAAUUCAUGUACAUUAAUUAAUAUAAAAUUAGGCUGAUUUUAUGAUGCACCUUGACAGAUUUUACCCAUCAAUCAUAUUUGAAGAACCUGCUUUUUAUUCAGUAAGGAAAAGCUUAACUUUGAGCACAUGGCAAUGGCAUAUAUUUCAUUGGGAGCAGGCUUAGGAAUUUCUUCAUUAGGAAUAAU